This 962-nucleotide ribosomal RNA is filed under the name uncultured bacterium. Its description in RNAcentral is "bacterial SSU rRNA". It matches the Rfam family "Bacterial small subunit ribosomal RNA", at positions 563 to 1501 of the family's 1533-position model. The record is from RNAcentral.
UUUUCGUUAUGGACGGCUUGGUUCGCGUCGUUUUGUGAUAACCAGCAGCUCAACUGCUGCUUGCUAGCGAUACUGGCAGACUUGAGUACUGCAAGCGGAGACUGAAUACCUUGUUGUAGCGUUGAAAAUGCGCAGAUUAUCUAUGAGGAACACCCGCUGGGCGAAGACGGGGUCUCUGUGCAGUAAACUGACGCUGAGGAACGAAAAGCGUGGGUAGCGAACAAGGAUUAGAAUACCCCUGUAGUUCUACGCCCGUAAACGAUGGGCGCUAGGUGUGGGUUCUUUUCCACGGAAUCCGUGCCGUAGCUAACGCAUUAAGCGCCCCGCCUGGGGAGUACGGCCGCAAGGCUAAAAACUCAAAAGGAAAUUGACGGGGGCCCGCACAAGCGGCGGAGCAUGUGGAUUAAUUUGAUGCAACGCGAAGAACCUUACCUGGGUUUGACAUAUACCGGAAAGCUGCAGAGAUGUGGCCCCCCUCGUGGUCGGUAUACAGGUGGUGCAUGGCUGUCGUCAGCUCGUGUCGUGAGAUGUUGGGUUAAGUCCCGCAACGAGCGCAACCCCCUAUCUUAUGUUGCCAGCACGUUAUGGUGGGGACUCGUAAGAGACUGCCGGGGUCAACUCGGAGGAAGGUGGGGAGGACGUCAAGUCAUCAUGCCCCUUAUGUCCAGGGCUUCACACAUGCUACAAUGGCCAGUACAGAGGGCUGCGAGACCGUGAGGUGGAGCGAAUCCCUUAAAGCUGGUCUCAGUUCGGAUCGGGGUGUGCAACUCGACCCCGUGAAGUCGGAGUCGCUAGUAAUCGCAGAUCAGCAACGCUGCGGUGAAUACGUUCCCGGGCCUUGUACACACCGCCCGUCACGUCAUGAAAGUCGGUAACACCCGAAGCCGGUGGCUUAACCCCUUGUGGGAGGGAGCCGUCGAAGGUGGGAUCGGCGAUUGGGACGAAGUCGUAACAAGGUAACC